This 253-nucleotide ribosomal RNA is filed under the name uncultured bacterium. Its description in RNAcentral is "partial 16S ribosomal RNA". It matches the Rfam family "Bacterial small subunit ribosomal RNA", at positions 524 to 776 of the family's 1533-position model. The record is from RNAcentral.
UACAGAGGGUGCUAGCGUUAAUCGGAAUUAUUGGGCGUAAAGCGCAUGUAGGUGGACAUUUAAGUCGGGUGUGAAAGCCCCGGGCUCAACCUGGGAAUCGCAUUCGAUACUGAAUGUCUAGAGUAUGGGAGAGGGAAGUGGAAUUUCCGGUGUAGCGGUGAAAUGCGUAGAUAUCGGAAAGAACAUCAGUGGCGAAGGCGGCUUCCUGGCCUAAUACUGACACUUAAGUGCGAAAGCGUGGGGAGCAAACAGG